ACCAAUUGCAGUUUUGCAAUGUACAUGUCUAACGUUUCACCGUUCGUCUUAUUUGAAUUUUUUAUGAUUAGUAUUUUUAUUGCUAUUAGAUGAUAAAACAUAAAUAGUAAUUCAUGUGUGACUAUUUUUUUUAAUUUUUUCAUAAAUUUUUUAAAUAAGAUGGAUGAUUAAAUGUUGAACACAGAUAUCCACAUCUGCACUUAAA
Molecule: non-coding RNA, 205 nt
Organism: Oryza punctata
Lineage: Eukaryota; Viridiplantae; Streptophyta; Magnoliopsida; Poales; Poaceae
Source: Rfam